RNAcentral lists this transfer RNA (63 nucleotides) under Rattus norvegicus (Norway rat). It matches the Rfam family "tRNA". From Rfam's summary of the family: Transfer RNA (tRNA) molecules are approximately 80 nucleotides in length. Lineage: Eukaryota; Metazoa; Chordata; Mammalia; Rodentia; Muridae. The record is from Rfam by way of RNAcentral.
GGGGAUUUAGCUUAGUGGUAGAGCACUUGCCUAGCAAGUGCAAGGCCCUGGGUUCAGUCCUCA